Molecule: ribosomal RNA, 253 nt
Filed under: uncultured bacterium
Lineage: Bacteria
Description: partial 16S ribosomal RNA
Rfam family: Bacterial small subunit ribosomal RNA
Source: RNAcentral
UACGUAGGGUGCAAGCGUUAAUCGGAAUUACUGGGCGUAAAGCGUGCGCAGGCGGUGAUGUAAGACAGGUGUGAAAUCCCCGGGCUUAACCUGGGAACUGCAUUUGUGACUGCAUCGCUGGAGUGCGGCAGAGGGGGAUGGAAUUCCGCGUGUAGCAGUGAAAUGCGUAGAGAUGUGGAGGAACACCGAUGGCGAAGGCAGCCCCCUGGGUCAAGAUUGACGCUCAUGCACGAAAGCGUGGGGAGCAAACAGG